AGCCUAUAUGGACACUAGUUUUCGUCACAGAAAUCGUCAUGGAUAUCCUACAUGGGGUAGCCCAUUAGUUCGUCCCAUUAGCCUAUUUCAUCCAGCCCAUUUUUCACCAACUAUAUUUUUAACCAGAAUGCAUUACACAUAUCGUAAUGCCAAUUUUGGCAAGACAGGUAUUUCAAAACAGUCUCACAUGCACAUAUGAAUCAAAAUGCAGUAAUUCACAAGUAUCUACAACAUAGCAGCUUACAAAAUGCUCCAUGAAAUGAUGGUUUACAACAUAGAUUGACACAAUACAUAAUUUGGGAAAGUUAGAAAACAGUACAAACCAGUUCACACAAACAGGUCAUUUAAACUAUUGAAGUUGCUAUUCAAGUUCUUGCUGUCGGCCGUCUUGAUGGAAAUUGUCAGUACAAAUUGUGAUGGGCAGCACCAAGUAGCCCAGCACCAAGUAGUCUGGUACGCAAUCAUACCUAGCAUAUUUACAACAUCAUUAGAUAUUUGUAGAUAUGAAUAUAUUGUAAAAAUAAGAGAAUUGAAACAAAUAUAAAAAAUGAAUAACUCAUGCUAUCAAAAUUCUUAAAUCUUGCACCUACACGUGAGAAUAACAUAGUAUCUACUACAUACAUGUUUCAUGUAGAUCCCUAUUAAUUAAAACAACCAACUUAUGGGUAAAAAAAUGAAAUGUAAAGUACUUGUGCAUAUCAUCUGAAUAAGAAAAACAAAAACACUGGUCAAAGGGGGACAGUACAUAUUGAAGAAGGGAUAGUUAUGCAUUGAGAAAACAAACAAGUACAUACUUCUACAGGUGUGUCGAGUAGUAUAUUAUUUUUCCAUCCUUGUAAGUAGGCAUGAAUUGACUUGUCAAUAUUUGGCAGAACAGCACCUUUGGGUACCACCAAUUUGCAAAAAAUAGGUUGCCCAACCCCAGAACCUACCCUAUUAUAUAGAGCAUUAAGAAAUUGGAUAUACCCUAAAGAACAAUAUCCACAUAUUGUUGACAGUUGACAGUUGAAAAUUAGACCAAAACAGAUAUAUAGUGAAAAUAAAACCAAAAGGAUAUGAAGGAGACAGUAAUAGACCUAUCUAAGAAUGUGGACAUUUUGCCCAAGGAUACAUUUCUCUAGCAACCGUAAGAUAUCAUCAACAUACAGCUGAAGAAUUACUAUUUGACAAGAAUUAGCAUUUGACAGGAACAAUAAUAAAUAAAUUAAUAAGUGGUGAUGCAAAAUUACCACCAGCAGUUUGUGAGGUAACAUGAUGGCAGUGCAGCCUGAAGGAUCGACAUCAUAAGCUUCGCUUACAUGUAGCUAGGGCCACAUCAAUCUCAGCACCAACAUCCGAAGAUCUGCAGUCCCAUCAAAAUGUCCAACUUUAAGCUCCAAUCUGGGUGUUGAGAAAAUUGCAUACAAAAUCUGGGUGUCCAUGAGAUAGACCUGGGCAAAGCAUCCGACAAAACUUAGCACACUAUUAAAACAACUUUUGACAGAGAAUUGAGACAUACAAGAAUUUCAUUGGAGCCCAAAGUGCAAUGACAACACCAAUAUUAUUAUUUGCUGCAAACCAAGAUCAAAUAAUAACACCAAACUUUUCAAACCUGCAGAUUGUUACACUAUUUCAUUAUCUAUGUGUGCCUCUAAAUCUCUAAAGCUAUAGAUUGUUACACUAUUUCAUUAUUUCAUUUUAGAGCCUCAAUCAUGUAGAAUCGAACAGCUUAUUCAGUGGUAAAUCUUGUGCCCCUCCCUCUAGCUCAGGGAGUAGGGAGUAGCUUAUUCAGUGGUCAAACUGUGUGCCUCUCCUUGUGCCUCUCAACUUUUGUAGAUGGAAGAAAGUUACUUCUAAAUCUUGUCGUGGUAUGUUCAAUCAUAGAAGUUUCACAACACCAUAUACCAACAUAUAUUGUGAAAACGUGCCUUGACAGUUGACUGCCACAUGCACACACCAAGAAACAUCCAAUAUUAAUUCAGAUAGGAACGUGUACGAACAUAUGCAGGAUUUUCUUAUGAAGAAUACCGAUGAGUCCUUAAGCUAGGCAUGGUCAAAACUAACAAGUACUAACUCCGUCUCAAAAUAUAAGACAUUUUUGUAUGCUAGUUUAACCUAUAAAAACGACUUAUAUUUCAAGAUGGAGGUAGUAUGACUCAAGUAGCAUUGAUAUUUGAUCCUAACAGCAACAAAGAUGAGUACAUCGACUGGCAAAACAAGGUCGUGGCCCGCCCAGCUCUAGAGACAAAUAAAACUCUUUUGUACAUGUAACAUCUUAAUCCAAUAGCAUGUCUCCCUCGCAUCCAGCUAUGAGCUCUCUGCCUCGAUUCAACACUGAGCAAGCCAUUCAGAGAUGGAGAGGUCCAAUAGCCAGGAAGUCGGGCGCCGCAUGUAGCAACCCCUACGGUGACCCAUCCCUAUGCCAUGGCGGCUGCCAGUGGCUAGCCACUGAUGAACUACCCAGGCGACAAGCACAAGGCCAUAGAACCAGCAGGCAGCUAGAGCACAAGAAAUUUCGUUUAUUUGUCCAAAUUUUACUUGACAACAUCAUCCUAUUACCAGUUUCCCUGUACAGGCAACCUGAAAUUUCACUAACUCAUGCCUACUUAAUUGUAUGGUUUAGAAAAAAAUUUGGCCUGCCCAACUUAUUUGUUGUAGCUCCGCCACUGAGUACAUCUAACUUACACAAGUUCUGCACAUCAUUAAUUAUUAGUUUGCAACUACGCCAGGGAGUAAAGACAAUAUAAAAAUAUAGAUAUAUACCAGACUAAUAACAAUGGAAAGGAGGACACUAAUAUGCUUUAUUCAUUACUGGCAUGGCCUAAUUAGGAACUAAACGCGAACCACCACAUAGCUUGUCUAACUACUCCCUCCGUUCGGAAUUACUUGUCACAAAAAUGGAUGUAUCUACAAUUAAAAUACAUCGAGAUACAUUCAUUUCUUCGACGAGUAAUUUCGAACGGAGGGAGUAGUAGUUAUUUAACACAAAUUCUACACUGCUAAUGCUCGCAUGGUGAGAGAAGAAAAAGGAAAUAACUAGCAGUGCUAGUCUGUCAUUGGCUGUAACUUGGCUGUAGCUUGCGAGUAUCAGGAAACGAAGUGGACGCGUUUUCUACAUCAGGUUCAGUCCAAGAAAAUUGGUGAGCCCCAGGAGAACUAUGCUAGAGAAGAGCAGCAGGUACUUGGAAAGAAAAGAAAAACAGAGUGAGAGAGUCAACCUUAUUGUUCUGUGGGGAAUCAUGAUGGUCGGCUCGGAUGACCUCGCCAUUCCAGCUCGUCGGGUUUGAGCGUGGGG
This 3274-nucleotide long non-coding RNA is filed under the name Triticum aestivum (bread wheat). RNAcentral describes it as "long non-coding RNA (TAES_LNC021790)". The stretch from base 2840 to 2954 matches the Rfam family "MIR1120/MIR1122 microRNA precursor family". The record is from RNAcentral. Lineage: Eukaryota; Viridiplantae; Streptophyta; Magnoliopsida; Poales; Poaceae.